GAUCAUGGCUCAGGACGAACGCUGGCGGCGCGCCUAACACAUGCAAGUCGAACGAGCGAGAGAGAGCUUGCUUUCUCGAGCGAGUGGCGAACGGGUGAGUAACGCGUGAGGAACCUGCCUCAAAGAGGGGGGACAACAGUUGGAAACGACUGCUAAUACCGCAUAAGCCCACGGCUCGGCAUCGAGCAGAGGGAAAAGGAGUGAUCCGCUUUGAGAUGGCCUCGCGUCCGAUUAG
RNAcentral lists this ribosomal RNA (235 nucleotides) under uncultured bacterium. RNAcentral describes it as "partial 16S ribosomal RNA". It matches the Rfam family "Bacterial small subunit ribosomal RNA", at positions 15 to 244 of the family's 1533-position model. The record is from RNAcentral.